UGGGGAAUAUUGCACAAUGGGCGCAAGCCUGAUGCAGCGACGCCGCGUGGGGGAUGACGGCCUUCGGGUUGUAAACUCCUUUCGCUAGGGACGAAGCUUUUUGUGACGGUACCUAGAUAAGAAGCACCGGCUAACUACGUGCCAGCAGCCGCGGUAAUACGUAGGGUGCGAGCGUUGUCCGGAAUUACUGGGCGUAAAGGGCUCGUAGGUGGUUUGUCGCGUCGUCUGUGAAAUUCCGGGGCUUAACUCCGGGCGUGCAGGCGAUACGGGCAUAACUUGAGUACUGUAGGGGUAACUGGAAUUCCUGGUGUAGCGGUGAAAUGCGCAGAUAUCAGGAGGAACACCGAUGGCGAAGGCAGGUCUCUGGGCAGUAACUGACGCUGAGGAGCGAAAGCAUGGGUAGCGAACAGG
This 411-nucleotide ribosomal RNA is filed under the name Actinomycetes bacterium. Its description in RNAcentral is "Actinobacteria bacterium partial 16S ribosomal RNA". It matches the Rfam family "Bacterial small subunit ribosomal RNA", at positions 355 to 776 of the family's 1533-position model. The record is from RNAcentral. Lineage: Bacteria; Bacillati; Actinomycetota; Actinomycetes.